UAAUACGAUGUGUGAUAGAGUUAAGUAGAAUUAAUGGGAUUAAAGCGUGUGUAGGUGGUGCGUUAAGUCUUUUGUGUAUACUCUGGGCGCAACCACGGAGUUGCACUC
This 108-nucleotide ribosomal RNA is filed under the name Modestobacter versicolor. Its description in RNAcentral is "partial 16S ribosomal RNA". The record is from RNAcentral. Lineage: Bacteria; Bacillati; Actinomycetota; Actinomycetes; Geodermatophilales; Geodermatophilaceae.